AUGUGAUUCAGUGAGGCUGCAAGCCGAGUUUCUGGAAACAGAGCAGUAUCCUGGGAAAAUCAUAAAAGGAACUACUAUACCAGAUGUUUUAGCAAUAUGACCUCAGUGCACUUAAUUCAUCAACACCCUUGAUGACAAAACUGAAAACCAAAGUGGUUCAAUAAUUUUUCCAAGGCCAUUUCAAGAAGCAGUGGUGCUGAAUUUAAACCAAGCUCUGUCUUCAUGUAAAGCCCAUACUCCUCAUCACUAUUUUGUCUUAUACACACACGUAAAUUUAUCAAUUAUAAUAACAUUACUGUGAUCAUGCCUUUGCUCUUGACUUUGCUGUCUGUUAAGCCUACUUAUGCUGUUCCCUCCCACCUAUUUCUGAGUGAACUUGCCUCAUGCCCAUUCCAUCUGGAUGUCUUAUCUCUGAACUGAACUUAGCACUCACAGAUCACAACACACCAUCUCCCUGGUUCCACAUGGCUCCAACUGCAUGUAACAACCAAGAUGGAACAAUAUGCCAAGAAUCAGUGAGAUCACCAGUUAAUAUAAAAUUGUAUUUUAGUUUCCAUUUGGGUCUAAAAUGUCAAAGAAAUUAGAAGAAACAUUCUUCGUGAUCAUUACUGGGGAGAUCAGCAUAAUCAUUUCAAAUUACUUAAAUGAUGGCUACUCUUUAACACAUGAGCACAGUAACUUCUCUAUGUUGAAUUUUUUCUGCAUAUUUUGUUUAGCAAGGCCCAUCUGUCCUUCACAUUCAUCUUCAGUCUGGUUUGGUUUCAUUUUAACAUAUAAACCAGGUCUUCUAUCAGUGG
RNAcentral lists this long non-coding RNA (797 nucleotides) under Heterocephalus glaber (naked mole-rat). RNAcentral's name for it is "lncRNA (ENSHGLG00000033318.1)". The record is from RNAcentral. Lineage: Eukaryota; Metazoa; Chordata; Mammalia; Rodentia; Bathyergidae.